This 430-nucleotide long non-coding RNA is filed under the name Homo sapiens (human). RNAcentral's name for it is "non-protein coding lnc-ZNF665-2:1". Lineage: Eukaryota; Metazoa; Chordata; Mammalia; Primates; Hominidae. The record is from RNAcentral.
ACAAACGUAACAUGCAUGCUGAGACUAUUACUCCUGGACCACAACUGUAGAUAAACGACAAAGUUUGUAUGUUCACCCUCAUAACAUUUUGAUCAUUUGAACUUGUGACCUCUCUACUGGAACUGUAUUGAACUUCACCUAAAGGAAUUGCUGGAUCCAAUCGCCGUGCCUCGUGGAUCCUCCACUAAGAUCCCAGUUCCCAGACCGAGAUCCCCGAUUCCCAGAUCCCCGUUCCUGAGCUGCAGCAGACUCCCUAGCAGGACUGGGUCCAACCCGCCGGCAAACAAUUUUAACAUAAACCGUUUUCAACUUGGUAAGAGGAAAUCAUUUUGGUUUCUAUCAUAAGUGGUCCACGUAAGUCUAUUCUUUCACCUUAAAACUGCUUCAAAUUGGAACGGUGCUCCCGGGGACAUAGUGAACACUCCAGCGU